GGAGGGGUCGCACAGUGUGGUGAGUGCGCCAGCCUUGAAAGCUGGUAACCCGAAAGGGUAUGCAGGUUCGAUUCCUGUCCCCUCCGCCA
This 89-nucleotide transfer RNA is filed under the name Planctomycetota bacterium. RNAcentral's name for it is "Planctomycetes bacterium (groundwater metagenome) tRNA-Ser". It matches the Rfam family "tRNA". Rfam says of the family: Transfer RNA (tRNA) molecules are approximately 80 nucleotides in length. Their secondary structure includes four short double-helical elements and three loops (D, anti-codon, and T loops). Lineage: Bacteria; Pseudomonadati; Planctomycetota. The record is from RNAcentral.